Non-coding RNA from Mycena polygramma, 93 nucleotides. Lineage: Eukaryota; Fungi; Basidiomycota; Agaricomycetes; Agaricales; Mycenaceae. The record is from the annotation of a GenBank genome assembly.
GACCGAGUGGUGUAGUGGUUACACUCCUGCUAAUUAUUGAUGACCUUUCUAAAUCUUCUGCAGGUGCCGUGGGUUCGAGUCCCAUCUCGGUUA